Molecule: long non-coding RNA, 561 nt
Organism: Pseudophryne corroboree (corroboree frog)
Lineage: Eukaryota; Metazoa; Chordata; Amphibia; Anura; Myobatrachidae
Exons: 3
Source: RefSeq, a predicted model, not a curated record
CCUUGUUCUAAGAAGUCCUCCCUGUGUAUCAGACUGCUGUUGAUUCACACAGGGCCGUAACUAGGUGUGGUCCAAUGAUGCCUUGCCCACAGCGCAGAUGCACUGAAGGUGCACCAUUUGGCAGCACACCCGCACGGCCGCUGGUACACUGACACUCCGUCUCCUGCCGCCCGCCGCUGAAGUAAGGAAGCCCUGGGGCUAGAACAGAGACCUUUUUUCAAUAUGAGAGGAGGAGGGGAACCUCUCCUGCCCACCCCUAGCUCCUCCUCUCUCAGACCUUCAGCAGCCGCCGGGGACGAGACAUUGCGGUAUCAGAUCCCCAGCAGGGAGCAGGCUCUGAUAUCAAGUACAUCAACUCUAAUCCAGGUCACCGCAUUCUCCAGCCAAACCAGGAUCCUCAGAUUGACUUCCAGAUGGACCAGAUGUAUAUGGUAAAAAGUAUCUGUUUCCUUAGAUGUAACAAACAGCAGUAAACGACUGGUUCCCUUCCUCAAUAAAAGUGUGUUUACAUCCGUUCCUCAAUAAAAGUGUGUUUGCAGCUAUACGCUCUUAUGCUGAACU